This 771-nucleotide ribosomal RNA is filed under the name Photobacterium sp. DJHH19. RNAcentral's name for it is "bacterial SSU rRNA". It matches the Rfam family "Bacterial small subunit ribosomal RNA", at positions 382 to 1146 of the family's 1533-position model. Lineage: Bacteria; Pseudomonadati; Pseudomonadota; Gammaproteobacteria; Vibrionales; Vibrionaceae. The record is from RNAcentral.
CCUGAUGCAGCCAUGCCGCGUGUGUGAAGAAGGCCUUCGGGUUGUAAAGCACUUUCAGUCAGGAGGAAAGGUUAGUAGUUAAUACCUGCUAGCUGUGACGUUACUGACAGAAGAAGCACCGGCUAACUCCGUGCCAGCAGCCGCGGUAAUACGGAGGGUGCGAGCGUUAAUCGGAAUUACUGGGCGUAAAGCGUACGCAGGCGGUUUGUUAAGCGAGAUGUGAAAGCCCCGGGCUCAACCUGGGAACUGCAUUUCGAACUGGCAAACUAGAGUGUGAUAGAGGGUGGUAGAAUUUCAGGUGUAGCGGUGAAAUGCGUAGAGAUCUGAAGGAAUACCGAUGGCGAAGGCAGCCACCUGGGUCAACACUGACGCUCAUGUACGAAAGCGUGGGGAGCAAACGGGAUUAGAUACCCCGGUAGUCCACGCCGUAAACGAUGUCUACUAGAAGCUCGGAGCCUCGGUUCUGUUUUUCAAAGCUAACGCAUUAAGUAGACCGCCUGGGGAGUACGGCCGCAAGGUUAAAACUCAAAUGAAUUGACGGGGGCCCGCACAAGCGGUGGAGCAUGUGGUUUAAUUCGAUGCAACGCGAAGAACCUUACCUACACUUGACAUACAGAGAACUUACCAGAGAUGGUUUGGUGCCUUCGGGAACUCUGAUACAGGUGCUGCAUGGCUGUCGUCAGCUCGUGUUGUGAGAUGUUGGGUUAAGUCCCGCAACGAGCGCAACCCCUAUCCUUAGUUGCUAGCAGGUAAUGCUGAGAACUCUAAGGA